RNAcentral lists this ribosomal RNA (481 nucleotides) under uncultured organism. RNAcentral's name for it is "SSU rRNA". It matches the Rfam family "Bacterial small subunit ribosomal RNA", at positions 21 to 509 of the family's 1533-position model. The record is from RNAcentral.
GGCUCAGGAUAAACGCUGGCGGCGCACAUAAGACAUGCAAGUCGAACGGACUUAACUCAUUCUUUUAGAUUGAGAGCGGUUAGUGGCGGACUGGUGAGUAACGCGUGAGCAACCUGCCUAUCAGAGGGGAAUAACAGUGAGAAAUCAUUGCUAAUACCGCAUAUGCUCACAGCAUCACAUGAUGCAGUGAGGAAAGGAGCAAUCCGCUGAUAGAUGGGCUCGCGUCUGAUUAGCUAGUUGGUGGGGUAAAAGCCUACCAAGGCGACGAUCAGUAGCCGGACUGAGAGGUUGAACGGCCACAUUGGGACUGAGAUACGGCCCAGACUCCUACGGGAGGCAGCAGUCGGGAAUAUUGCGCAAUGGAGGGAACUCUGACGCAGUGACGCCGCGUAUAGGAAGAAGGUUUUCGGAUUGUAAACUAUUGUCGUUAGGGAAGAAAAAAGACAGUACCUAAGGAGGAAGCCCCGGCUAACUAUGUGCC